GAUGAACGCUGGCGGCGUGCUUAACACAUGCAAGUCGAACGAAGCACUUUAUUUGAUUUCCUUCGGGACUGAUUAUUUUGUGACUGAGUGGCGGACGGGUGAGUAACGCGUGGGUAACCUGCCUUGUACAGGGGGAUAACAGUUGGAAACGGCUGCUAAUACCGCAUAAGCGCACAGCAUCGCAUGAUGCAGUGUGAAAAACUCCGGUGGUAUAAGAUGGACCCGCGUUGGAUUAGCUAGUUGGUGAGGUAACGGCCCACCAAGGCGACGAUCCAUAGCCGACCUGAUAGGGUGACCGGCCACAUUGGGACUGAGACACGGCCCAAACUCCUACGGGAGGCAGCAGUGGGGAAUAUUGCACAAUGGGCGAAAGCCUGAUGCAGCGACGCCGCGUGAGCGAAGAAGUAUUUCGGUAUGUAAAGCUCUAUCAGCAGGGAAGAUAAUGACGUUACCUGACUAAGAAGCAUCGGCUAAAUACGUG
This 481-nucleotide ribosomal RNA is filed under the name uncultured bacterium. RNAcentral's name for it is "partial 16S ribosomal RNA". It matches the Rfam family "Bacterial small subunit ribosomal RNA", at positions 28 to 507 of the family's 1533-position model. The record is from RNAcentral.